RNAcentral lists this ribosomal RNA (424 nucleotides) under uncultured bacterium. RNAcentral describes it as "partial 16S ribosomal RNA". It matches the Rfam family "Bacterial small subunit ribosomal RNA", at positions 360 to 776 of the family's 1533-position model. The record is from RNAcentral.
AAUUUUGGACAAUGGGGAAAACCCAAACCUACCCAUCCGCUCUUGCGGAGUAAGGCCUCCGGGUUGAAAGGAACUUUUGUCGGGGAGGAAAGGGUCCGGGCAAUUACCCGAAACGUAAGUCGGUACUUGAGAAAUAAGCACGGCCAAGCAUGUUGCAAGAAGCCGCGGUAAUACGUAGGGUGCAAGCGUUAAUCGGAAUUACUGGGCGUAAAGCGUGCGCAGGCGGUUCGGAAAGAAGGAUGUGAAAUCCCAGGGCUCAACCUUGGAACUGCAUUCUUAACUACCGAACUAGAGUAUGUCAGAGGGGGGUAGAAUUCCGCGUGUAGCAGUGAAAUGCGUAGAUAUGCGGAGGAAUACCGAUGGCGAAGGCAGCCCCCUGGGAUAAUACUGACGCUCAUGCACGAAAGCGUGGGUAGCAAACAGG